This 398-nucleotide unclassified non-coding RNA is filed under the name uncultured Tarzetta. RNAcentral describes it as "sequence contains ITS2". The stretch from base 1 to 155 matches the Rfam family "5.8S ribosomal RNA". Lineage: Eukaryota; Fungi; Ascomycota; Pezizomycetes; Pezizales; Pyronemataceae. The record is from RNAcentral.
AACUUUUAGCAAUGGAUCUCUUGGCUCUCGCAUCGAUGAAGAACACAGCGAAUUGCGAUAAGUAAUGUGAAUUGCAGAUUUCCAGUGAAUCAUCGAAUCUUUGAACGCACAUUGCGCCCUCUGGUAUUCCGGGGGGCAUGCCUGUUCGAGCGUCAUCAAACCCACUCAAGGAGGGAUUUUUCGAAACCCCAGCUUGGUCUUGGGCCUGAGGGAUCCGAACCCUCUGCCUGCAAUCCAGUGGCGGAUUUUCCAGCGCGGCAUCAGCGUGAUGAACACGUCGUUCGCGAAUGGCGGCGGGAAAGUCCAGCCAUGACAAAACCCCCAUAUCAAUUUUCAAGUUUGACCUCGGAUCAGGUAGGGAUACCCGCUGAACUUAAGUAUAUCAAUAAGCGGAGGCU